Molecule: ribosomal RNA, 253 nt
Filed under: uncultured bacterium
Lineage: Bacteria
Description: partial 16S ribosomal RNA
Rfam family: Bacterial small subunit ribosomal RNA
Source: RNAcentral
UACGGGGGGGGCAAGCGUUGUUCGGAAUUACUGGGCGUAAAGGGCUCGUAGGCGGCUCGUUAAGUCAGACGUGAAAGCCCUCGGCUUAACCGGGGAACGGCGUCUGAGACUGGCAAGCUUGAAUCCGGGAGAGGGAUGCGGAAUUCCAGGUGUAGCGGUGAAAUGCGUAGAUAUCUGGAGGAACACCGGUGGCGAAGGCGGCAUCCUGGACCAACACUGACACUGAGGAGCGAAAGCCAGGGGAGCAAACGGG